UUUACGGAGAGUUUGAUCCUGGCUCAGGACGAACGCUGGCGGCGUGCUUAACACAUGCAAGUCGAACGAUGAUCC
Molecule: ribosomal RNA, 75 nt
Filed under: Mycetocola sp. CAN_C7
Lineage: Bacteria; Bacillati; Actinomycetota; Actinomycetes; Micrococcales; Microbacteriaceae
Description: partial 16S ribosomal RNA
Rfam family: Bacterial small subunit ribosomal RNA
Source: RNAcentral